AGAUACCAGCUGGCUGCAACUGUUUAUUAAAAACACAGCACUGUGCAAACACGAAAGUGGACGUAUACGGUGUGACGCCUGCCCGGUGCCGGAAGGUUAAUUGAUGGGGUUAUCCGUAAGGAGAAGCUCUUGAUCGAAGCCCCGGUAAACGGCGGCCGUAACUAUAACGGUCCUAAGGUAGCGAAAUUCCUUGUCGGGUAAGUUCCGACCUGCACGAAUGGCGUAAUGAUGGCCAGGCUGUCUCCACCCGAGACUCAGUGAAAUUGAACUCGCUGUGAAGAUGCAGUGUACCCGCGGCAAGACGGAAAGACCCCGUGAACCUUUACUAUAGCUUGACACUGAACACUGGUCCUUGAUGUGUAGGAUAGGUGGGAGGCUUUGAAGUGUGGACGCCAGUCUGCAUGGAGCCAUCCUUGAAAUACCACCCUUUAAUGGCUGGUGUUCUAACGUAGACCCGUAAUCCGGGUUGCGGACAGUGUCUGGUGGGUAGUUUGACUGGGGCGGUCUCCUCCUAAAGAGUAACGGAGGAGCACGAAGGUUAGCUAAUCCUGGUCGGACAUCAGGAGGUUAGUGCAAAGGCAUAAGCUAGCUUGACUGCGAGAGUGACGGCUCGAGCAGGUGCGAAAGCAGGUCUUAGUGAUCCGGUGGUUCUGAAUGGAAGGGCCAUCGCUCAACGGAUAAAAGGUACUCCGGGGAUAACAGGCUGAUACCGCCCAAGAGUUCAUAUCGACGGCGGUGUUUGGCACCUCGAUGUCGGCUCAUCACAUCCUGGGGCUGAAGUAGGUCCCAAGGGUAUGGCUGUUCGCCAUUUAAAGUGGUACGCGAGCUGGGUUUAGAACGUCGUGAGACAGUUCGGUCCCUAUCUGCCGUGGGCGCUGGAGAAUUGAGGGGGGCUGCUCCUAGUACGAGAGGACCGGAGUGGACGCAUCACUGGUGUUCGGGUUGUCAUGCCAAUGGCAUUGCCCGGUAGCUAAAUGCGGAAGAGAUAAGUGCUGAAAGCAUCUAAGCACGAAACUUGCCCCGAGAUGAGUUCUCCCUGACCCUUUAAGGGUCCUGAAGGAACGUUGAAGACGACGACGUUGAUAGGUCGGGUGUGUAAGUGUAGCGAUACAUUGAGCUAACCGAUACUAAUGAACCGUGAGGCUUAACCUUACAACGCCGAAG
Molecule: ribosomal RNA, 1164 nt
Filed under: Citrobacter freundii
Lineage: Bacteria; Pseudomonadati; Pseudomonadota; Gammaproteobacteria; Enterobacterales; Enterobacteriaceae
Description: partial 23S ribosomal RNA
Rfam family: Bacterial large subunit ribosomal RNA
Source: RNAcentral